RNAcentral lists this ribosomal RNA (492 nucleotides) under uncultured bacterium. RNAcentral's name for it is "partial 16S ribosomal RNA". It matches the Rfam family "Bacterial small subunit ribosomal RNA", at positions 29 to 507 of the family's 1533-position model. The record is from RNAcentral.
AGUGAACGCUGGCGGUAGGCCUAACACAUGCAAGUCGAACGGCAGCACAGUAAGAGCUUGCUCUUACGGGUGGCGAGUGGCGGACGGGUGAGGAAUACAUCGGAAUCUACUUUUUCGUGGGGGAUAACGUAGGGAAACUUACACUAAUACCGCAUACGACCUACGGGUGAAAGCAGGGGAUCUUCGGACCUUGCGCGAUUGAAUGAGCCGAUGCCGGAUUAGCUAGUUGGCGGGGUAAAGGCCCACCAAGGCGACGAUCCGUAGCUGGUCUGAGAGGAUGAUCAGCCACACUGGAACUGAGACACGGUCCAGACUCCUACGGGAGGCAGCAGUGGGGAAUAUUGGACAAAGGGCGCAAGCCUGAUCCAGCCAUACCGCGUGGGUGAAGAAGGCCUUCGGGUUGUAAAGCCCUUUUGUUGGGAAAGAAAAGCAGCAGGUUAAUACCCCGCUGUUCUGACGGUACCCAAAGAAUAAGCACCGGCUAACUUCGUG